This is a long non-coding RNA of Lycium barbarum (goji berry), 1864 nucleotides long. RefSeq lists it as uncharacterized. NCBI's taxonomy places the organism in Eukaryota, Viridiplantae, Streptophyta, Magnoliopsida, Solanales, Solanaceae. The transcript is spliced from 3 exons. The record is from RefSeq and is a predicted model, not a curated record.
AGUUUAAGCUCAUAUCAUUAGAGUUCUAGUGGAAACAUGGAAGGUUUGAACGUUUUGCGAAAAUGGUUGAUAGGCCUAUUUCGGGCAGCGAUAACUCCUUGAUCGGUUUGGAAUUUUGGAAGGUACUAUCAAUGAAGUUGUAGUAUGUAGAAAUACCUUUCUAACGAUAUAAGGAUCAAGCCAAUCAGAGAUCGGAGCAAGGAGAUAUGAUCGUCUCAAUAUGGCUAAUAGUAAGGCACUUGAAAUCCUAUAGAAUCGGCUAAGUUUUUGAUACGUCUGACUUCCAAUCAAAUUUCAUGAAAAUCCGUUGGGAAUUUGAGAAAACUUCCUUGAUAAAAGUUGUAGCCCUUUGAAAUAGCUUUCCAACGGUAUCUUACGGGGGUCAAACGGACAUCUGUGCAAAGAGUUAUGCCCAUUUUACUGAAGCCUGUUCGCUGGAAAUUCUGCCAGCGUAACGGCGACGUUACGGGCCGUAUUUCGUGUUACGGUCCGUAACAGUGGACCGUAACGUCCCGAAAAUUUCCAGAAACUCACUGGAAAUUUUCACCAAGAUACGGUACCAAGUUACGGUCCGUAUCUCGUGUUACGGGACCGUAACAGUGACCGUAUCUUGGUCCGUAUAUACGUUUCGGGUCACCUGACUUCGGGAGGCCAUAACCCUAUCAUAACUUGGGAAUUUGGGAAAACUCAAAGAACGAAAGUUGUAGAUAAUUGAAAAACCUUUCCAACCAUAGGUUGUGGGUUCACAGGAGACGUCGGGAUAAGGAGAUAUGGAUGUUUUAAGACAGCAAGGUCCCAACCCGUUUUCAAGUUGGGUCAACCCAUUUUCCCCUUGGUAUAUAAAGAAAAUAUUACCCUAACAGCCCAUUUUUCCUCCAAAACUCAGAUUUUAGAGAGAGGAAGUGAGAGAGAAGGGAAAUUAGAGAGAGAAAGUAGAAAAUCAACCAAGUUUAAGGCCCCGAAUCCCAAAGCUCGUGAAGGAAAAAGUGUAGUACAAGUCGUUGUCGUCAUUUUAAGCCCAAGAUCGGACUUGGGGGUGUUGAUUUCGUGGUGACUACCCAAAAGAUUGAAGUUGAAGGGGGUGAAGGACAUUGUGAUACGCCCAAAAGCGGAAGGUUAAGGUACUGAUAUACAGGACGACACAUCUGCUCAGUAGGACAGCAUUCGUAUCAGCUUAUUUGUGAGCCCCAUCUCAUUCGGGGUUUAGUCAACUUUUAUCUUAUGAUUAGUUAUGCAUCUAAAGGUAUGUUGGGGGCCUUGUCCCAGUAAGUAUGUUUUUCAGUCAGACUCAUGAUAGAGGUUUCAUAGACUAGAACAGACAGUUAUGUCAUGUCAGAUAAUCGAAGUCGCAUAGCCAUUUUGGCUCACUCAUGUUUAAACAAGUACUUUAUUAAGUAUUAUGACUUAUUAUGUUUUAUAAAGGCUCAUCAUGCAUUCACGUUAUAUUCCGCUUAUGUUAUGCAUCAUGAUGAUUCAGCAAGUCAUGUGGUUCGCUCGGUCACAUGUAGUCAGGCACCGAGUGCCGUGUUACGUCCAGGCCAUGGUUCGGGGCGUGACACACUCGACCCUCUCCAGACCCUACAUUGUGAGACUCUACUGGGUACGUUAUUGUUGUUGUUGCAAGCACCGGCUAGGGAGACCGAGAAGUUGGAGACGCUGCAGAGGAACUUCCUACGGGAUUCAGAGGAUAAACUAGAUAGGAAAUAUCAUCUAGUCAACUGGGACAUUGUCACCUCACGGAAGUAGUGGCAAGGACUUGGGUUAAAGGAUCUCAGAUUGCUUAACAAGGCGUUACUGUGUAAAUGCAUGGGGAUAUUCGGAACUGGGAGCAGGCUCUGCUGGAAGGAGGUUAUACAAGAAAAGU